AUGGAGAUCCUUGAACAGACCGAUGGUGAUAGCACAUAUGAUGCUCCAGGUAUAUAUGUACCUCCAUGUAUAUGUUCAGCUAUAAAUGUUGCUAUGCAUGUCAAACACCAUCCCAGGAGACUAAAUGUGUUGCAGGCCCGAUGGAGGGGACAAAUGUUGCCGACGAUGUUGACAAUAUAUACCCAAGUGGUCCAGGGGUCUCCGUUGGAACGGAUGAUACUUGAACAGCCCGAUGACAACCGUACAAGUUCAUUCCUAUAUAAUGAAGCUUCGUUGCCGGCUCCGAGUAAUCUGACACAGGAUUAUGGGACAGAUGUAGCACAAAGUGCAAAUGUUGCUGUACAUGCUCAUGGUCGUGAUGCCUUAGAGGUUUUACCUCUGUCGGAUGCAACAUCCGAACACAUAACAACAGGAUCUGUCAUGAAAAAAACAUAA
Molecule: ribosomal RNA, 435 nt
Filed under: Triticum aestivum (bread wheat)
Lineage: Eukaryota; Viridiplantae; Streptophyta; Magnoliopsida; Poales; Poaceae
Description: partial small subunit ribosomal RNA
Source: RNAcentral